UCAUACCAUUUUUCGGUGGUAAUGGGGCUCCAUCAAGGAUCGGCGCUUAGCCCUCUCUUGUUUGCCUUGGUUAUGGAUGCUCUAACCCGUCAUAUUCAAGGGAAUGUGCCUUGGUGUAUGCUAUUUGCUGAGACAUGGUUUUGAUAGACGAGACGAGGGUCGGUGUUAAUGAGAGGUUAGAGGUAUGGAGACAAACUCUCGAGUAUAAGGGUUUCAAAAUAAGCCGAUCUAAGACAGAAUACCUAGAGUGCAAGCUAGACGAGACGAGGGUCGAUUUUCAUGAGAGGCUAGAGGUAUGGAGACAAACUCUCGAGUCUAAGGGUUUUAUAUAAGCAGAUCUAAGACAGAAUACCUGGAGUGCAAGUUUAGCGCCGAGCCGAGCGAA
This 385-nucleotide long non-coding RNA is filed under the name Nicotiana benthamiana. Its description in RNAcentral is "long non-coding RNA (NBEN_LNC016391)". The record is from RNAcentral. Lineage: Eukaryota; Viridiplantae; Streptophyta; Magnoliopsida; Solanales; Solanaceae.